Molecule: long non-coding RNA, 478 nt
Organism: Phyllostomus hastatus (greater spear-nosed bat)
Lineage: Eukaryota; Metazoa; Chordata; Mammalia; Chiroptera; Phyllostomidae
Exons: 3
Source: RefSeq, a predicted model, not a curated record
GCAGCCUUAGCACUCACCGCCGUUUCUCCUCGUCGAAGCUGAGGACGAGCCGCGGCCGUCGGUUGUCGCCAUCUCGCUUCUUCUUCUUGUUGCGGCCCAUAACUGUGAGGCCUGGGCGAUGCUGUUCCCCUCUCCUAAGAGAGAGGGGAAGGGAAGGAGAAAGAGGGAGAGAAACAUCAGUCAGCGAUGCGGGCAUGUGCCCCGACCGGGAAUCAAACUGCGACCUUUUGCUUUGAGUAAUGACAUCCACCCAGCGGAGCCACACCGGUCCGGGCUCACACACUCUUGCUUGAUACACGUUUUUGUUUCAGAAACUACAGAUAAGGCCCAUCCCGGUGCCUGAGAAAAAGCAGCUGACCUCCUGGGGUAUUAGCUAGAGAUUACCGACUGGAGACAUCCCUGCCUGGAGACAUCCCUACCGGGAAGAAGCAGGCGACUACCCCUCCCCCUUGGAAUUUCAAGGCUUUCGCUGACCCGU